RNAcentral lists this ribosomal RNA (492 nucleotides) under uncultured bacterium. RNAcentral describes it as "partial 16S ribosomal RNA". It matches the Rfam family "Bacterial small subunit ribosomal RNA", at positions 29 to 507 of the family's 1533-position model. The record is from RNAcentral.
AGUGGACGCUGGCGGUAGGCCUAACACAUGCAAGUCGAACGGCAGCACAGUAAGAGCUUGCUCUUACGGGUGGCGAGUGGCGGACGGGUGAGGAAUACAUCGGAAUCUACUUUUUCGUGGGGGAUAACGUAGGGAAACUUACGCUAAUACCGCAUACGACCUACGGGUGAAAGCAGGGGAUCUUCGGACCUUGCGCGAUUGAAUGAGCCGAUGUCGGAUUAGCUAGUUGGCGGGGUAAAGGCCCACCAAGGCGACGAUCCGUAGCUGGUCUGAGAGGAUGAUCAGCCACACUGGAACUGAGACACGGUCCAGACUCCUACGGGAGGCAGCAGUGGGGAAUAUUGGACAAUGGGCGCAAGCCUGAUCCAGCCAUACCGCGUGGGUGAAGAAGGCCUUCGGGUCGUAAAGCCCUUUUGUUGGGAAAGAAAAGCAGCAGGUUAAUACCCCGCUGUUCUGACGGUACCCAAAGAAUAAGCACCGGCUAACUUCGUG